Long non-coding RNA from Nicotiana attenuata, 698 nucleotides. RefSeq lists it as uncharacterized. The record is from RefSeq and is a predicted model, not a curated record. Lineage: Eukaryota; Viridiplantae; Streptophyta; Magnoliopsida; Solanales; Solanaceae. The transcript has 2 exons.
CUGAAAUGGAAAAGAUACAAUCAACAUAACAAAGUGAAGAUGUCGGUCAAUCAGUUGAUGCAUUUGCAUCAGUCAUAGGACUCGAGCAUCCACGCCGCGUAAGAUUGUAUGGAUGUGGGGUUUCCAAGACCGCCUUAAAAAAGUGGGAGAUAUUAGACCCUCUUUAAAUUCUACUGAUGAGAUGAUGUAGCAAAAAAUAGAAGAAAUAGAAUAUAGAAUUCAUCAAAGAAUGCAGGAAAAGUUCAAUGCACAAAAGGAUGCUAUGGAAAGAGAAUUACAAUUAACGUCGUCGCACAACUUCAGCAUCUUAACCCAGGAUUACGGAUUGAUACUAACAUGUUCGCUUUCAGUGCUCGUUCACCUGGAUAAACUUACUCUACACAACAAGCUGCUAUUAAACUAAUCAAUCUUCUAUCUACUGGUAGUAACGAUCUGGUGGAGAAAUGAUGAAAAGAAAAUCAAAAGCGAUGAAGUUCUAGACUUUACUUAAGAAGGUUUUUAAAUUAUUGCUGAAACUUUAGAUGUUCUAGGAAUCUUUUGUUAGCAAACAUUUUGAAACUUUUGUAAAAUUUAUGCAGCUUGGGUUAGAGGCGCAUUUUGCUUUUAUGGAUAUUACUGUAUAGCUUGUUGGACAAUUAAUUUGGAGUGUGAAUGUUAAUGAAUAGUUUCAUUCUGAGAAUUAUAUAAAUUUUAGUGUA